UACAGAGGUCUCGAGCGUUAGGCGGAAUCACUGGGCUUAAAGCGUGUGUAGGCGGAUCGUUAAGUGCCUUGUGAAAUCCCACGGCUCAACCGUGGAACUGCUUGGCAUACUGGCGGUCUUGAGCAACCUAGGGGCGAGCGGAACAAAUGGUGGAGCGGUGAAAUGCGUAGAUAUCGUUUGGAACGCCAAUGGUGAAAACAGGUUGCUGGGGCUGUGCUGACGCUGAGACACGAAAGCCAGGGGAGCGAACGGG
Molecule: ribosomal RNA, 253 nt
Filed under: uncultured bacterium
Lineage: Bacteria
Description: partial 16S ribosomal RNA
Rfam family: Bacterial small subunit ribosomal RNA
Source: RNAcentral